RNAcentral lists this signal recognition particle RNA (267 nucleotides) under Candidatus Schekmanbacteria bacterium RBG_16_38_10. RNAcentral's name for it is "signal recognition particle sRNA large type". It matches the Rfam family "Bacterial large signal recognition particle RNA". From Rfam's summary of the family: The signal recognition particle (SRP) is a universally conserved ribonucleoprotein involved in the co-translational targeting of proteins to membranes. Lineage: Bacteria; Candidatus Schekmaniibacteriota. The record is from RNAcentral.
UCAUGCUAGGCGGGGAGCUAGCGAUUCCCUGUAACCCGCAAUUCGCUAUAGCGGGGUCGAAUUCCUACCCGAGGUAAUUAAGACCAAAAGAGGGCGUGAGGAGAAAGUGUUGAGAGUUGGGUCCCAUGCAAUAGGGGCUUGUGAACCUGGUCAGGACGGGAACGUAGCAGCCAUAAGCAGGAUUUCCCUAUGUGUUAUGGGUUUUCCUGGCUUGAGCUUAUCUUCUCAAAAGCGCUUUGGUUUAAAUUAACAGAGGUAGGUGCAUGA